GCAUCGGUGGUUCAGUGGUAGAAUGCUCGCCUGCCACGUGGUUCGAUUCCCGGCCGAUGCA
This 61-nucleotide transfer RNA is filed under the name Cordylochernes scorpioides. RNAcentral's name for it is "tRNA-Ser". It matches the Rfam family "tRNA". From Rfam's summary of the family: Transfer RNA (tRNA) molecules are approximately 80 nucleotides in length. Their secondary structure includes four short double-helical elements and three loops (D, anti-codon, and T loops). Further hydrogen bonds mediate the characteristic L-shaped molecular structure. tRNAs have two regions of fundamental functional importance: the anti-codon, which is responsible for specific mRNA codon recognition, and the 3' end, to which the tRNAs corresponding amino acid is attached (by aminoacyl-tRNA synthetases). tRNAs cope with the degeneracy of the genetic code in two manners: having more than one tRNA (with a specific anti-codon) for a particular amino acid; and 'wobble' base-pairing, i.e. permitting non-standard base-pairing at the 3rd anti-codon position. Lineage: Eukaryota; Metazoa; Arthropoda; Arachnida; Pseudoscorpiones; Chernetidae. The record is from RNAcentral.